GAUUAUGUGGAUUAAUUCGAUGCAACGCGAAAAACCUUACCUACCCUUGACAUGCUAGGAAGCCCGCAGAGAUGUGGGCGUGCCCGAAAGGGAACCUAGACACAGGUGCUGCAUGGCUGUCGUCAGCUCGUGUCGUGAGAUGUUGGGUUAAGUCCCGCAACGAGCGCAACCCUUGCCAUUAGUUGCUACAUUCAGUUGGGCACUCUAAUGAGACCGCCGGUGACAAACCGGAGGAAGGUGGGGAUGACGUCAAGUCCUCAUGGCCCUUAUGGGUAGGGCUUCACACGUAAUACAAUGGUCGGUACAGAGGGCUGCCAACCCGCAAGGGGGAGCUAAUCCCAGAAAGCCGAUCGUAGUCCGGAUUGUAGUCUGCAACUCGACUGCAUGAAGCCGGAAUCGCUAGUAAUCGCGGAUCAGCAUGUCGCGGUGAAUACGUUCCCGGGUCUUGUACACACCGCCCGUCACACCAUGGGAGUGGGUUCCACCAGAAGUAGUUAGCCUAACCGCAAGGAGGGCGAUUGCCACGGUGAGAUUCAUGACUGGGGUGAAGUCGUCGUAACAAGGUAACCGUAA
This 573-nucleotide ribosomal RNA is filed under the name uncultured bacterium. Its description in RNAcentral is "bacterial SSU rRNA". It matches the Rfam family "Bacterial small subunit ribosomal RNA", at positions 935 to 1505 of the family's 1533-position model. The record is from RNAcentral.